UCUAAUAUGACAGAAUAUAUGUAUUGGAUUUAAGCCCCACUUAUAAAGGAUUNAUCCUUUUUUUAGAA
This 68-nucleotide transfer RNA is filed under the name Greya variabilis. RNAcentral describes it as "tRNA-Leu". Lineage: Eukaryota; Metazoa; Arthropoda; Insecta; Lepidoptera; Prodoxidae. The record is from RNAcentral.